UACGUAGGGUGCAAGCGUUGUCCGGAAUUACUGGGCGUAAAGGGCUCGUAGGCGGCCAACUAAGUCAGACGUGAAAUCCCUCGGCUUAACCGGGGAACUGCGUCUGAUACUGGAUGGCUUGAGGUUGGGAGAGGGAUGCGGAAUUCCAGGUGUAGCGGUGAAAUGCGUAGAUAUCUGGAGGAACACCGGUGGCGAAGGCGGCAUCCUGGACCAAUUCUGACGCUGAGUGAGCGAAAGCCAGGGGAGCAAACGGG
Molecule: ribosomal RNA, 254 nt
Filed under: uncultured bacterium
Lineage: Bacteria
Description: partial 16S ribosomal RNA
Rfam family: Bacterial small subunit ribosomal RNA
Source: RNAcentral